Molecule: long non-coding RNA, 1007 nt
Filed under: Hordeum vulgare
Lineage: Eukaryota; Viridiplantae; Streptophyta; Magnoliopsida; Poales; Poaceae
Description: long non-coding RNA (HVUL_LNC002618)
Source: RNAcentral
CUAAAAACAUGUUUGCAGUUUCCUUGGACAUGCCUUCAUGGUUGAAACCGGUAAGCUGUGGCCGACGACGAGGAACGACAGAUACGGCUACUGCCUUUGGUCAGUCCUAUUCGGACACUUGAUCAAAAUCCGGACCGGACCAAGCGUUUGUCGGUCUGAAUCUUCAGAAUUGGACCGGCCAGUUUUUCCUCGGGCUAGGACUGUGCGGGCAAAGACCCAACGGUCCACGAGCGGGUUGAAAAGCCCGCUCUCAGCGUCUACCCUGACCGACCAACGCCUCGUAGCAUCCCUCGUUGCAGGGGCUUGAUGUUGAUCAACCCCAAUGGAGUGAUGGACUGAGUUGUAGCAUACCUUCAGGAUCUUCUGAGCAUUCACGUUCUCAUCGUGGUGCUCGAUCAAGACCAUCAAGGUACAUGUGUUCAAGUCUAUAAAGGACUUGAAAUUCAACUUGUUUGUAUUACAGCAGCUAUUGGACAAAAGCAGACUGCAGCAUUGGUCUGGAUUUGGUCUUCUCCAAAAUCUCACAAUUGCUAAAUUUGGAGAAGGUGAAGGAUACGAUGCCAAAAUUUUGAAGUUGUGAAGACGUGUUAUCUCCGAGGAAAGAUAUAUAUAGAGAGAGAUGUACAUAUCACAUCACAGUGGCACAGAGAUCCGUCAUUUUUCAUGCAUAUAUCUCCUUGUCAUGCAUAUAUCCCCUCGUUUCUCGUGCGUACAUCGUCUUGUCAUGCAUAUAUAUCACUAGUGGAGAAAGGGGUAUUAGAACCGGUUGGUAAGGGCCUUUGGACCCGGAUACACAUCCGGUGCUACGUAUCCGGGACUAAAGGCCCCCCACUUUAGCACCGGUCUCUUACAAACCGGNGAGAGAGAGAGAGCGCUCCCACAUUUUUCAUGCUUAUAUCUCCUUGUAAUGCAUAUAUCCCCUCAUUUCUCAUGCGCACAACUUCUUUUCAUUUACAUAUGUGAUCUGCAUGAGUCUCCGAUACCGUAUGGUAUGGCCGGCCGGUGUG